Molecule: long non-coding RNA, 694 nt
Filed under: Homo sapiens (human)
Lineage: Eukaryota; Metazoa; Chordata; Mammalia; Primates; Hominidae
Description: HSALNT0138003
Source: RNAcentral
AAACCCCUGGCCUAGGAGAAGAUGAGAAAAAAUUCAAUCCAGUGUCUUCUUUGUACGAAGCACCUUGCAUGCUGCACUCUAUGGGAAUCAACUCAAUAACAUUUGUUGAGUUGAACUGAGUUCCAGAUGUUGAGCUAGUUGGACAUUAACUGAAAGAAUUAAACACUAAGAGUGAGUUGAUUUCCACUUAAUUGAACUUUCUACUUAACUAAAAAUUAACAGGAGAAGUUUGAUGUGUGUAAUUCAGUCCUUGCUGAGAAGUGUUCUUGUUGAAUUGGGGAGACUGUAAUUGACAUGUCAGCUCUUCCGCUGAGCUCGAGUGAGUUUCCUUGAGGCCCAGAUCCACAUCCGACUCACCUUGCUGAGCAGACUCACAGUCUGGCACAUUUCAGGGGUUGAAUUAUUUGUUGAAUGAAAGAGUUGGUUAUUCUAUUUCUUCCUACAGAGCUAUUCAUUGAAUGCCUAACUUUUGCUGGAUUUUCAACAAAGAGGACUAAAAUUAUUUCUGGAUAGUUCUCAAAGAGAAAAUUCAGACCCCCCACCAAGCUCUUAAUUGCUUCAGUGUUAUAAUAAUUGCGUCUUAAAGAAAAGACUGAGAUUUUUGAUCAGAAAUACUUGAAGAAGAUGGAAUUAGGAAGUAUCUUGAGGACAGAGACCACAGAUGCAGAAUUCAUACACUAUCCUUCAACAAAAA